AUACGGAGGAUGCGAGCGUUAUCCGGAUUUAUUGGGUUUAAAGGGAGCGUAGGUGGGAUAUUAAGUCAGCUGUGAAAGUUUGGGGCUCAACCUUAAAAUUGCAGUUGAUACUGGUUUCCUUGAGUACGGUAUAGGUGGGCGGAAUUCGUGGUGUAGCGGUGAAAUGCUUAGAUAUCACGAAGAACUCCGAUCGCGAAGGCAGCUCACCGGGCCGGAACUGACACUGAUGCUCGAAAGUGCGGGUAUCAAACAGGAUUAGAUACCCUGUAGUCCGCACAGUAAACGAUGAAUACUCGCUGUUUGCGAUACACUGUAAGCGGCCAAGCGAAAGCGUUAAGUAGUCCACCUGGGGAGUACGCCGGCAACGGUGAAACUCAAAUGAAUUGGCGGGU
This 392-nucleotide ribosomal RNA is filed under the name uncultured bacterium. RNAcentral's name for it is "partial 16S ribosomal RNA". It matches the Rfam family "Bacterial small subunit ribosomal RNA", at positions 523 to 918 of the family's 1533-position model. The record is from RNAcentral.